UCCUACGGGCGGCUGCAGUGGGGAAUAUUGGACAAUGGGCGCAAGCCUGAUCCAGCCAUGCCGCGUGAGUGAAGAAGGCCUUCGGGUUGUAAAGCUCUUUCAGAGGUGACGAUGAUGACGGUAACCUCAGAAGAAGCCCCGGCUAACUUCGUGCCAGCAGCCGCGGUAAUACGAAGGGGGCUAGCGUUGUUCGGAAUUACUGGGCGUAAAGCGCGCGUAGGCGGUGUGCAUAGUCAGGGGUGAAAUCCCGGGGCUCAACCUCGGAAUUGCCUUGGAUACUGGCACGCUUGAAUCCGUGAGAGGGUGGUGGAAUGGCCAGUGUAGAGGUGAAAUUCGUAGAUAUUGGCCGGAACACCAGUGGCGAAGGCGGCCACCUGGCGCGGUAUUGACGCUGAGGCGCGAAAGCGUGGGGAGCAAACAGGAUUAGAUACCCUAGUAGUC
This 441-nucleotide ribosomal RNA is filed under the name uncultured Rhodospirillaceae bacterium. Its description in RNAcentral is "bacterial SSU rRNA". It matches the Rfam family "Bacterial small subunit ribosomal RNA", at positions 337 to 795 of the family's 1533-position model. The record is from RNAcentral. Lineage: Bacteria; Pseudomonadati; Pseudomonadota; Alphaproteobacteria; Rhodospirillales; Rhodospirillaceae.